AGUUUAUUGGCCCUUGUUGCACCCGUAGUCGUUAGACCUGCCUCCAGACUGUACCAUUUGAAGUAAAAUCGAUUUUGCCCUUCACUGAUUUCUGUGACAUGAUUUGUUAAGACUUGAGAAAGGCGUGGACAUUUACAACUCGAGUUCAGACAAAAAGCAACAUGGACCUCUCAUGAAGCUGCCAGGGAGAAGAUAAAUGAAGAAUUCAAGAAACACAGAAAUGAAACAUGUACAGAAACAAUAAAUAAGUAUUUUUCAGAUGAUUAAAGUUGGUUCAGAUGUUGAAGUUAUUCUUCGUAAAACAGUACUCCAGGGAGUUCAUGUAGAAGACAAAAAAAUACACCUUCGGUACAGAGAAG
This is a long non-coding RNA of Polyodon spathula (Mississippi paddlefish), 359 nucleotides long. RefSeq lists it as uncharacterized. The record is from RefSeq and is a predicted model, not a curated record. Lineage: Eukaryota; Metazoa; Chordata; Actinopteri; Acipenseriformes; Polyodontidae. The transcript has 4 exons.